GUUAAUUCAAAACUCCCCCUAUCUGCCUGCUGCAGCAAUGGCGGCUCCCAUGUCCUGGAGGAGGCUGGUGUACUCUGUGUACACACCGGCCUUUGCCGGUGUCUUCACACGAAUAUCGGAUCGAUUCUUUCGCGCACGGGACAGAAGAAAAGGGUCCUCUGUGCUCCUGCUGGCCCCCCUCCUGGCUGAGGCAGAGCCGGCCCCCCACUGUGUCCCCCGGUCGGCAGGACUUAAGGAGACCGAUGGCCUUCUCACACAAUUCCAGUGGAUGGCUGAGCACGCGCCCGGCUUCAGGGUGCCAGGCGCGCACAUCCACAUACUGUCCUCCCCCAGUCAGUUCUACCAAGCCAUCAAGUCGCGGAUCAAAACAGCCAAACAGCGCGUGGUGAUGGCCUCGCUGUACCUGGGCACGGGCCAACUGGAGCAGGAGCUGGUGGACUGUGUGGAGGAGGCCCUGGCGCGCUCCCAGCAGCCAGGCGACGGGCCUGCACUGCAGGUCUCCAUCCUGCUCGACUACAUGCGAGGAUCACGAGGCCGGCAGAAUUCCCGCACCAUGCUGCUGCCGCUGCUGCAGCGUUACGCGUCCCAGAUGCGGGUGUCCCUGUACCACACUCCUGACCUGCGGGGCCUGCUGCGCCUGCUGAUGCCCCAGCGCUUCAACGAGACCAUCGGAGUGCAGCACAUCAAGGUGUACCUGUUCGACGACAGCGUCAUCAUCAGCGGGGCCAACCUGAGCGACUCGUACUUCACCAACCGCCAGGACCGCUACGUCCUGCUGGAGAACUGCAAGGAGGUGGCGGACUUCUUCGCCUCACUGGUGGGGGCCGUGGGGGACGUCUCACUGCAGCUGCACCCGGACGACUCGGUGUCCAUGCUGGAGGGCAGGGUGCACCCGUACAACGGCAACCGAAAGGAGUUCUCGGCGUCGGCCAGGGAGCACAUCAUGGGGGUGGUGAACACGGCGCGCCUGAGGCAGCACCUGUCCCGCCACUGGCAGGACGAGGAGGAGGAGGAGCAGGCGGAGAGGAAAAAGGAGCAGCAGCAGGAGGAUGAGGAGGAGGGGGAGGAAGAUGAUAGGGACACAUGGGUGUUCCCCCUGGUCCAGAUGAAGCCCCUGGGGAUCAACAUGGACGAGCAGGUCACCCAGCGUCUGCUGACCAAGGGCGGCGCCGACGCCACGGUGUUCCUGACCUCGGGCUACUUCAACCUGACCCGCGCCUACAUGAGGCUGGUGCUGGGCGCCGCCGCCGACUACCGCAUCCUCACCGCCUCGCCGGAGGUCAACGGCUUCUACGGCGCCAAGGGCGUGGCCGGCGCCAUCCCCGCCGCGUACGUGCACAUCGCCCGGCAGUUCUACGGCAACGUGCGGCGGCUGGGCCAGCAGGAGCGCGUGCACCUCUACGAGUAUCACCGGCCGCAGUGGACCUUCCACGCCAAGGGUCUGUGGUUCUACCUGGGAGGCCAGGACCGGCCGUGUCUCACGCUCAUUGGCUCGCCUAAUUUCGGCUACCGCUCGGUUCACCGUGACCUGGAGGCCCAGAUCGCCAUAGUAACAGAGAAUCGGGAACUGCGGGCCCAGCUCCAGGAGGAGCACGAAAGGUUGUACCAGAGGUCCUCUGAGGUCUCCCUCGCCACGUUUGAGCGUCCCGACUGCUUUGUCAAGCUGUGGGUUAAACUGGUCACGCCGGUCCUCAAGAACUUCUUCUGAGAGUCAUUGUGGUGAGAAGCGAUUCCCAGCCCCAGGGCUCCGGUCUUCCCAGCAGCCGUACCAAAUCCACACGGGUCGAGGGAGAACAAUGUGGCGACUUGCUUUGAUGACUCUGUGAAGGAGUGCAGCACCUUGACAAGGGGACAGACAUGCUGGGGGGGUGGACUUCUUCAGCCAUGCCUUCGCCAUCACCCCCUUCUGAGGGUCCGCCGCAAAACUACUGGUUGAAAAUAUAAUCACUGUAACACUCCUCAUCUCAGUAAUGUUUGUAUGGGCUCCUUGUCCUGAGCUGGUUUACAUGUUACUAACCGCAGAGCACAGUGGGGUCUUGCCUUUCUGAAACUAUUUUUAAAGAUUCCCUUUCAUGUUGUUGGUUUUUUAUAAUUCUACAUUUAUUCAAAAAAAACCUUAAUGGCAUCUCUGGAAUUGCUGUAAUAAUAUAUUCAAUAAUGGUUUUCCACUCUUUCUCAAAAAAAUAGAGCGUAAGUUACCUUAAGAAAAGGAACAUGCAUUGUAAAUAUGAUUUAUGGUUGAUUUUACUAUAUUAUUGAACUUGCCAGUUCCUAACGGUACAAUGUUGAUGUAUUGUUACCUUUUUUGUAAAUUAAACUAUACAGAGAACAAAACUUGAAA
Molecule: RNA transcript, 2341 nt
Organism: Gadus macrocephalus (Pacific cod)
Lineage: Eukaryota; Metazoa; Chordata; Actinopteri; Gadiformes; Gadidae
Gene name: CDP-diacylglycerol--glycerol-3-phosphate 3-phosphatidyltransferase, mitochondrial
Exons: 12
Source: RefSeq, a predicted model, not a curated record